CAAAGGGGGUGUAGCGGAUCUCAAAACUCUUCUGCGAAGGACUCAGUAAAAAACAGCUGAUUCAAAGGGGGUGUAGCGGAUCUCAAAACUCUUCUGCGAAGGACUCAGUAAAAAACAGCUGAUUCAAAGGGGGUGUAGCGGAUCUCAAAACUCUUCUGCGAAGGACUCAGGUAGGAUACUCUUGUGCUUCCUCUCUGGGAGAAGGCUCCUCUGUUGGCCUUUUCUCAAUUAGAUUUGCUCAAGGCCUGCGUCCUCUCUUCUAUGUCCUCU
This is a long non-coding RNA of Oncorhynchus gorbuscha (pink salmon), 270 nucleotides long. RefSeq lists it as uncharacterized. The transcript is spliced from 3 exons. The record is from RefSeq and is a predicted model, not a curated record. Lineage: Eukaryota; Metazoa; Chordata; Actinopteri; Salmoniformes; Salmonidae.